RNAcentral lists this ribosomal RNA (405 nucleotides) under uncultured bacterium. RNAcentral describes it as "partial 16S ribosomal RNA". It matches the Rfam family "Bacterial small subunit ribosomal RNA", at positions 30 to 526 of the family's 1533-position model. The record is from RNAcentral.
AUUGAACGCUGGCGGCAGGCUUAACACAUGCAAGUCGAACGAGUGGCGGACGGGUGAGUAAUGCUUGGGAAUCUAGCUUAUGGAGGGGGAUAACUACGGGAAACUGUAGCUAAUACCGCGUACCAUAGGAUGCGACCAAUGGGGAUUAGGUGGGUGGUGGGGUAAAGGCUCACAAAGCCGCCGAUCUCUCGCUGGUCUGAGAGGAUGACCAGCCACACUGGGACUGAGACACGGCCCAGCCUCCUACGGGAGGCAGCAGUGGGGUAUGUUGCGCAAUGGGGGCAACCUGACGCAGCCAUGCCGCGUGAAUGAAGAAGGCCUUCGGGUUGUAAAGUUCUUUCGGUAGCGAGGCGUUAACUACAGAAGAAGCACCGGCUAACUCCGUGCCAGCAGCCGCGGUAAUAC